UUUUUCUGAACCUGGUGGGGGAGGAGUGGUCGUAACCUGCCUUCUAUCAGAGGAUAUAUUUCUAAAUUUUCCCAAACUGGUACAACUAUUCAGGAUAUAAGGUAACAGAGUAGAUGGUAAGUGGAUCUGAUUGCAUUACGAUGGGGGAAAACCCCACAAAUUCUAAUUAUACCUGUCUUCAAACUUUCAUGGCUCCUUUUUAUGUUGGUUUUUGUUUGUUUACUUGUUUAAUGUGUGUGUGUGUGUGUGUGUGUUUUGCUUUGUUUUUCUCUUUUUCAUCUCCAUCCUUGUAGACUUUUUAUUUGGAGCUAAAGAGAAACCGUGUGACCUCUUAGCACAAGCCAGAGUUCCAUCUUCUAUGCUAGUACCUGCUGUUUGUGCUGCUAAUCAAAACUAAAAGGAGGCUCUUUGUUGCCAGAGUUCAGGUUUCUGUCAUGAGCCCUGUGACAUCUCUUGUUUCUGCUUCAAAGCACCACACCAUGGAGAGGGAGCUCUGUGGGCCAGGAUCAUAUCAAUUUGUCAGGGGUGGGUGGUGUCUUUGUGGCAGGCUGGUGGCAGGAAAAGUCUUGCCCUGUGAUGUAUCUCAGCCCCAGAAAUUUCAGCCUCUGACCUACAGAACAGGGUUAGUCACUUUCCACCACAGGGCAAUGCUGUAACUGCUCCAGGAGCAGCUGUUGAGCGGUAGAACAGAGCCUAAGGCUCUCAUAAACCUGGGAACUCCUCCCUUAUUACUGUACCUGAAAUCCCCGACCCUAUUUGUGCCUGCAGGGUAUGAGCUGAAAUCUCUCAAGCAGAGGUGGCUGCCCAGAAGCACAGAUUGUUGGUGUAGUCAGCUGAGCCUUAAGUGUUUUAAAUUUGGGCUGUUUGCUCAUCUCCACCUUACAGACAAAUAUUUUUAAUAAUAAAGCUAUAUGAAUAGAGGAAUGAAGAAUGACAUUUGACAUUAAAAUGAACAACAUAACAUAAAGGCAGGUUUUCCCAUCCCUCUAAGUAAUUUGCAUUAGUGAGAAUUUAUAGCAUUACAGGUUUCUGUUGUAUUACAACAAGCAUUAGUAUGAGAGCCUGAAUGCUGAACAUUUGUGAAAUAACAACAUCUUCAAGGGUGUACCAUUAUACUCUAAGUGCUAGUAUUAUUUUAAAAGAAACCAUAUUGCUUUUAACAUUUUCAUUAUGCAUAGAAGUCGUAAUGAGACUCAGUGCUGUGUUUGCUAAUAUGUCUCAUCUGUAUUUUCACAGAGGAGAAUUUUAAAUAUUUAUAGCAACAAGUGUUUAUGUUCAGGAAUUUUGCUUUGACAAGGCAAACCCCUUAAAUAAAGUUGAAAGACACUUUAAUUCAAAGCCUAGGAGUAAAAUGCCUUUAUCAUAUAGCCCUAGAUUUUUUUGUACCUUGCAUGAAUCUACAAAAUUGUAUCUGUUUUCACAUUCCUGUGCUUGUUUCUCUGAUCCCCAUCUGAAAAAUGCCUGACCCAACAGAGCACCUCACCAGCGUGGGAGUGAAAUGAUUGGUGUCUAUUCAUGGAAAAUGCCUGAAAGCUCAAACUGUCCAAAACUGUGCUGACUAUCAGAUUUGUAAUCCCACUGUGCUGAGACCUUAACUAUUGCAUCUGAAGAGGCGUUUGCAGCACAGGAGAAGGAAAAGGCCUCACGCCAAUCUGCACAAUCCUACAUUAUUUACUACCUCUCUGUAUAGCACAGCUUCGGCUGGCAGGGAGAGCUAGAGCUGAGAAAGGGAGAUGCGUGCUGCUGCUUUGAGAAGUGCAAAUAAGAUUAGAGUUGCCAGUGCCUGCUGAGAGGUAAAUUUCUUUUCCAGAAGCUGAACACACCUUUUUUCGGAAACAGAAUCUUUGUUCAUGGGAACUGCUAGCCUGCUUCCAUCUGCCACACUUAAACACUGGACCUGGCAACAGCUCUGCAAGCUUCUGCACAGCCAUCGGGUCGUGUUUAAGGCCACUGAAAGGAACGGGUUAAUCUUUACACCGCCGUGAGUCACACAAUGUCCCCUCAUCCUCCGGGAAGUCAAACUCGCAUGACAAGGCUAAGGAGCUGCAGAAUAAGCAUCAUUCCCUUUGGGCACCCAAAAAAAGGAACCUCACCCUAACGGAAAAACCUGUUCGUGAGCCGAGACCCACUCCCCGCCACCCCACAUCAACCCCCGGCUGCCUUCCUCGGGUCCCGUAAAAUACCCCAAAAGCCCAUGGCAGAAGGAAGCGGGUCCCUCACCGCCUCCCUCGCCCGGGAUGUCGCUCCAGGUGCGGGGGGGACGCGCUGGCCCCGCGCGCAUCUCCCGCCAGGUGGAGCAAGAAACCAAGAUUAGACUUUCCCGAUUCCCGGGUGUUUGGUGCUUUUUUGGUUGUUCGGUUUUGGUUUUAUUUCGUUGGUGGUGUUACCCGCCCCUCCCCCUCCACUUCGCCCUUAAUUUUGCCUUUUUUCUCCCCAAACCGGAGUUUCAAGGCAAUGAUGACGCAAAGGGGGAGGCCGGUAUUUACUUCUCCUUUAGACGCCCCCGAGAGCGGGUGAUGCUCUCUGCAGUUUGCAGCGUGUCAGCGAUAAAGGGUGGUGGGAGGGGGAGAAGGUAGGGAGCACAAUGAGCUGCAUCAAUCCUCCUUCUGCGUGCCUACCGAUUAUAGCAGGAAAAUAAAAUUUAAAAAUUUAAAAAGGCAGAUCGCUCUUUUUGCAUUAGUGAAGAAAAGUUGGAAAGCCUAUUCCUGUACACAGCAGCAUAAAAUUCACAUUAACAUCUCAUUAAGCCUAAAUGCACUUAGGGAUUGAUCCAAAGGCCAUCAAACUCAAUGGGAGACUUUCCAUUGCCUUCAAAAGGGAUUUGGAUCAUGCUGUUAGAGAUUGGCAAAAGCUCAUAUUAACAAAACAAAAAAUUUCUGACAUUACCUAAAAGGCUAUAAAAGCGUUUCCAUUCCUUUUUCUGGGAAAUCCCUUUUACAGCUGAUCAAAUGUAAUCACAGCAGCCACCUUUAUGGGGAAAUAUUCCAGUUAGUCUAACAUCAAUGUGGCUGAGAGACGAAUGAAAAUGACACCACUAUUUCACAAAAAUUGAAAUGGAACUUUCUUUUUUGACCAUAAUAAAUUAUCCAUAAUAGCAGAGGUAAACCUGAAGUGUUCAGAAGUUAAUUUAAAUAAAUUCUACGUAAAUACUAUUUUAAAAGAGGGAGAGAAAAAAGCAACUGAAAUCUAGUUCAGGAAAACCAUAUGCUUGUUAUGAAAAUGUUUUACACAGGUCUGGUGGCCUAAUGUGAACUAAAAAAACUAAAAUUACUAAAAUUAAUGAAAAGUACUAAAGUAGACUUUAUAUGAUCAGAACCAAACCAAUUUGUUGUGCACAGUGCAUUUAGAGAACUCAGUACAUGAUAUCAUCAAUAAUGACUCUGUUUUCAUGUGUGGAGAUGAAAAGUAGUACACGAAAAAAGAAUUUAGCUGCUUUGGGCAGCUUCAAAUUCCUUGAUCUUCAUUUACUCUUUUAAAAUGCUGCUUCUAGCAGAGACAGUCUGGAGCAGAGGCUCCAGCUCUGAUUAGGUUUCUUGUUCAGAUGGCCUUAGCUGGGACUGUGUUACUUGGCUGAUGACAGAGAAAGGCUGAAAAUUUCCUGUGCAUGUUUCAAAAAAGAAAAAUAAAAGAAGUGAAAUCACAAAUAUCUAAAAAUUUUUGUCCCAAAUAUUAAAAAAUUGAAACUGACAUGUAAAACUGGACGGGUAGAAUGCUUUUGAAGAUUUGAAAGACUUUCCAAGUUCUACUUCUGCUGUGAUGUUUUAAAUCUCCUUUUUCUCUUCGGUAUCUCCUUUGCUUGUUUCUUUGUGUUGAACAUCACCUUCCUGCUGCUUGGGCCAAACAGUGUAGUGAGAACUUCAUCUUCAAGUAUCUCCAUGUCUCUGGCAAACAACCUUCUUGUUCCUCAUGCCCCUUAGAAGCCAAAGUAAAUACUUCAAUGAACAAUCUCCCAAUUUUUGAGUGCUAGGAAAGUCUGGAUGUAAGACAGGGAAGUGAUGUUCUUAUAGGAGUUGCAACUUUUAAAAUAUUACCAACAAAUAAAUUUCACAAAAGGAGGAAGGAAGCUGUAGGUAUUGCCCAAAAUUUUAAAAAUGUGUCUAAUUUCUACAAGCAACAGUUAUGGCAGAUCCUGAUGUUAACAUUAAAGUUAGGCGGCAAUUGAGAAAGGAAUUCCCAUAAAGAGUCAUGUAGCUGCACUAAUUCAAUUUUUACUUUUAUUCUUCUGUCUCACUCUAACAUCAAUUUCCAUUUUCCUCUUUUUGGUCUUCAAAAUAAAUAUAGUUUCACUGUCUUUUCCCUCUCCAACUUUGAUGGCUUACGUUUAUACAAAAUGAAAGGGUCUUGUAACAAGAAACUAUAUAUUGAAAUACAUAUUAAAAUACUAUUCAAUGCAUAUUAAAAAACAAUGCACUGGUUUGAGCAUCAGUUCAUGCCAACAGAGAUCAGAAAUCUGGCCCUUGGUGAGUACUUUGGAAUAACUGCCAGGAACUACUAAUCUUGUACAAUGUCCCCAUACGUUCUGAUAGAAAAGUGAUGCCAAGGAAAAAGCUCGAACUGGCACCCGUGCCUGGGAUCAUAUUUUCACCUGUCUUUCUCUUCUGAUUGCACAUCACCUCAGCUUUCUUAGAGGUAAUCUCAUUUCACUCCUUCAGUCAAAGGGGGCAUGCUACUGAUUGCAGAAAUAGCAAAGUGUUUUGUGAAUGUUUCUUCUUUAUCUUCCUUCAUCCCUCCCCUCCUGUGUCAUUAAACACAAUGAAACCUA
Corvus hawaiiensis (hawaiian crow) is the source of this 4762-nucleotide long non-coding RNA. RefSeq lists it as uncharacterized. Lineage: Eukaryota; Metazoa; Chordata; Aves; Passeriformes; Corvidae. The record is from RefSeq and is a predicted model, not a curated record. The transcript has 2 exons.